GAGUUUGAUCAUGGCUCAGGACGAACGCUGGCGGCGUGCUUAACACAUGCAAGUCGAGCGAUGAAGCUCCUUCGGGAGUGGAUNAGCGGCGGACGGGUGAGUAACACGUGGGUAACCUACCUCAAAGAGGGGGAUAGCCUCCCGAAAGGGANAUUAAUACCGCAUAAUAAUCAGUUUUCACAUGGAGACUNAUUUAAAGGAGUAAUCCGCUUUGAGAUGGACCCGCGGCGCAUUAGCUAGUUGGUAGGGUAACGGCCUACCAAGGCGACGAUGCGUAGCCGACCUGAGAGGGUGAUCGGCCACAUUGGAACUGAGAGACGGUCCNGNCUCCUACGGGAGGCAGCAGUGGGGAAUAUUGCACAAUGGGCGAAAGCCUNAUGCAGCAACGCCGCGUGAGUGAAGAAGGUUUUCGGAUUGUAAAGCUCUGUCUUUGGGGACGAUAAUGACGGUACCCAAGGAGGAAGCCACGGCUAACUACGUGCCAGCAGCCNCGGUAAUACGUAGGUGGCGAGCGUUGUCCGGAAUUACUGGGCGUAAAGAGUGCGUAGGCGGAUAUUUAAGUGAGAUGUGAAAUNNCNGGGCUUAACCCNGCUACUGCAUUUCAAACUGGAUAUCUAGAGUGCGGGAGAGGAGAAUGGAAUUCCUAGUGUAGCGGUGAAAUGCGUAGAGAUUAGGAAGAACACCAGUGGCGAAGGCGAUUCUCUGGACCGUNACUGACGCUGAGGCACGAAAGCGUGGGUAGCAAACAGGAUUAGAUACCCUGGUAGUCCACGCCGUAAACGAUGAGUACUAGGUGUAGGAGGUAUCGACCCCUUCUGUGCCGCAGUAAACACAAUAAGUACUCCGCCUGGGAAGUACGAUCGCAAGAUUAAAACUCAAAGGAAUUGACGGGGCCGCAACAAGCAGGCAGGAGAUUCAGGAAAUUCGAGUACGAACGCGAAGAACCUUACCUGGACUUGACAUACCCUGAAUAUCUUAGAGAUAAGAGAAGCCCUUNGGGGNANGGAUACAGGUGGUGCAUGGUUGUCGUCAGCUCGUGUCGUGAGAUGUUAGGUUAAGUCCUGCAACGAGCGCAACCCCNGUUGUUAGUUGCUAACAUUUAGUUGAGCACUCUAGCAAGACUGNCGCGGUUAACGCGGAGGAAGGUGGGGAUGACGUCAAAUCAUCAUGCCCNNNAUGUCCAGGGCAACACACGUGCUACAAUGGGCAGUACAGAGAGAAGCAAGACCGCAAGGUGGAGCAAACCUCAAAAACUGCCCCCAGUUCGGAUUGCAGGCUGAAACUCGCCUNCAUGAAGUUGGAGUUGCUAGUAAUCGCGAAUCAGAAUGUCGCGGUGAAUACGUUCCCNGGNNUUGUACACACCGCNCGUCACACCAUGAGAGCUGGCAACACCCGAAGUCCGUAGUCUAACUUAGGAGGACGCGGCCGAAGGUGGGGUUAGGGGCCUCGUACACACCG
Molecule: ribosomal RNA, 1458 nt
Filed under: uncultured Clostridium sp.
Lineage: Bacteria; Bacillati; Bacillota; Clostridia; Eubacteriales; Clostridiaceae
Description: bacterial SSU rRNA
Rfam family: Bacterial small subunit ribosomal RNA
Source: RNAcentral